Molecule: ribosomal RNA, 1190 nt
Filed under: Mesorhizobium sp.
Lineage: Bacteria; Pseudomonadati; Pseudomonadota; Alphaproteobacteria; Hyphomicrobiales; Phyllobacteriaceae
Description: partial 23S ribosomal RNA
Rfam family: Bacterial large subunit ribosomal RNA
Source: RNAcentral
AAUAUGGGGGGACCAUCCUCCAAGGCUAAAUACUACUGACUGACCGAUAGUGAACCAGUACCGUGAGGGAAAGGCGAAAAGAACCCCGGAGAGGGGAGUGAAAUAGAUCCUGAAACCGUAUGCGUACAAGCAGUGGGAGCAGACUUCGUUCUGUGACUGCGUACCUUUUGUAUAAUGGGUCAGCGACUUAUUUUCAGUGGCGAGCUUAACCGAAUAGGGGAGGCGUAGCGAAAGCGAGUCUUAAUAGGGCGUCUAGUCGCUGGGAAUAGACCCGAAACCGGGCGAUCUAUCCAUGGGCAGGUUGAAGGUUAGGUAACACUGACUGGAGGACCGAACCGACUACCGUUGAAAAGUUAGCGGAUGACCUGUGGAUCGGAGUGAAAGGCUAAUCAAGCUCGGAGAUAGCUGGUUCUCCUCGAAAGCUAUUUAGGUAGCGCCUCAUGUAUCACUGUAGGGGGUAGAGCACUGUUUCGGCUAGGGGGUCAUCCCGACUUACCAAACCGAUGCAAACUCCGAAUACCUACAAGUGCCGAGCAUGGGAGACACACGGCGGGUGCUAACGUCCGUCGUGAAAAGGGAAACAACCCAGACCGUCAGCUAAGGUCCCAAAGUUAUGGUUAAGUGGGAAACGAUGUGGGAAGGCUUAGACAGCUAGGAGGUUGGCUUAGAAGCAGCCACCCUUUAAAGAAAGCGUAAUAGCUCACUAGUCGAGUCGGCCUGCGCGGAAGAUGUAACGGGGCUCAAACCAUACACCGAAGCUACGGGUAUCACGUAAGUGAUGCGGUAGAGGAGCGUUCUGUAAGCCUGUGAAGGUGAGUUGAGAAGCUUGCUGGAGGUAUCAGAAGUGCGAAUGCUGACAUGAGUAACGACAAUGGGUGUGAAAAACACCCACGCCGAAAGACCAAGGUUUCCUGCGCAACGUUAAUCGACGCAGGGUUAGUCGGUCCCUAAGGCGAGGCUGAAAAGCGUAGUCGAUGGAAAACAGGUUAAUAUUCCUGUACUUCUGGUUAUUGCGAUGGAGGGACGGAGAAGGCUAGGCCAGCUUGGCGUUGGUUGUCCAAGUUUAAGGUGGUAGGCUGAAAUCUUAGGUAAAUCCGGGAUUUCAAGGCCGAGAGCUGAUGACGAGUUACCCUUUGGGUGACGAAGUGGUUGAUGCCAUGCUUCCAAGAAAAGCUUCUAAGCUUCAGAUA